UGGUGGAGUGAUUCGUCUGGUUAAUUCCGUUAACGAACGAGACCUCGACCUGCUAAAUAGUCGGGCGUACUCUCGGGUACGUACUAGACUUCUUAGAGGGACUGUCGGUUUUAGCCGAAGGAAGUUCGAGGCAAUAACA
Molecule: ribosomal RNA, 139 nt
Filed under: uncultured eukaryote
Lineage: Eukaryota
Description: partial 18S ribosomal RNA
Rfam family: Eukaryotic small subunit ribosomal RNA
Source: RNAcentral